UACGGGGGGGCAAGCGUUGUUCGGAAUUACUGGGCGUAAAGGGCUCGUAGGCGGCCAACUCAGUCAGACGUGAAAUCCCCAGGCUCAACCUGGGAACUGCGUCUGAUACUGGAUGGCUUGAAUCCGGGAGAGGGAUGCAGAAUUCCAGGUGUAGCGGUGAAAUGCGUAGAUAUCUGGAGGAAUACCGGUGGCGAAGGCGGCAUCCUGGACCGGCAUUGACGCUGAGGAGCGAAAGCCAGGGGAGCAAACGGG
RNAcentral lists this ribosomal RNA (252 nucleotides) under uncultured bacterium. RNAcentral describes it as "partial 16S ribosomal RNA". It matches the Rfam family "Bacterial small subunit ribosomal RNA", at positions 524 to 776 of the family's 1533-position model. The record is from RNAcentral.